CCUGCAUGGCUGGUCUCUGAGCCUCCACCACUAACUUCUUCUACUUUGCCUUCAGCUCAAUGCAACUUCCUGUGCCACUCCCAACAGCACACUCCGUUCCGCCUUUGGGGGGGCGCUCUUCCACUCCCCGGUGUCCCGCCCACUGCCCUCCGGAGGCAAGCUCGACCAACCUGCUCGGACCCCCAGCCGCGUGGCCAUGAAGCCCCCUCGCACGGCGCACACAGAACGGAACAAGGAGAACAUAUCCCAGUUGAAUGGAACCACCCUGAGCGCGCGAACUUUCAAAGGCUUCCAAAUCUGACAUGAGCUCCCGGAUCCUGAACUCCACAACCACCAACAUCCACUGUUGAGGAGG
RNAcentral lists this long non-coding RNA (355 nucleotides) under Chelonoidis abingdonii (Abingdon island giant tortoise). Its description in RNAcentral is "lncRNA (ENSCABG00000010121.1)". Lineage: Eukaryota; Metazoa; Chordata; Testudines; Testudinidae. The record is from RNAcentral.